GAUCCUGGCUCAGGAUGAACGCUGGCGGCGUGCUUAACACAUGCAAGUCGAACGGAAAGGCCCAAGCUUGCUUGGGUACUCGAGUGGCGAACGGGUGAGUAACACGUGGGUGAUCUGCCCUGCACUUCGGGAUAAGCCUGGGAAACUGGGUCUAAUACCGGAUAGGACCACUUCUUGGAUGUUGUGGUGGAAAGUUUUUUCGGUGUGGGAUGAGCUCGCGGCCUAUCAGCUUGUUGGUGGGGUAAUGGCCU
This 251-nucleotide ribosomal RNA is filed under the name uncultured bacterium. RNAcentral's name for it is "partial 16S ribosomal RNA". It matches the Rfam family "Bacterial small subunit ribosomal RNA", at positions 15 to 266 of the family's 1533-position model. The record is from RNAcentral.